GCAGGCAGGUGUGCUGAAGCCGGUUGGAAAUAAACUUUCCAGGAGAGUGGGUCCCCAGGAGCAGGGUUGAAGACCUCUGCACUAGGAAAAUCCAUCUGGCGAGAAGUUCAAAUGAAGAAAGUGUUUAUCCUGCUGUUGACAAGCAUAAGGGCUCAACCACACACAAAGAAAAUCGCAAGACGGCCCACAAUAGCUGCUAAUAAUACAGAGCUGCAGUGCUGAUGAAUAGAAAAGAUGGCAAAAUCUUGAGACGUGUUUUUAAAUUCACUGUGCUCAUGCGUGAGACGCUGAAAAAACUGCAAGAUGCAAGUGCAACAGUCAAACAUAUUCAUCUAGCACAUAUUUAUACAGAAAAACAAUUUAAAGCAGCACGGUGGAACAAAAAAAGCAAGAUAUGAGGGAAAAAAAUGCAUUUUUGAUGCACAACAUUUUAAAAACACAAGAUGUUUUUCUCUACAUUUCAAAUCAUUAUUUCGGCAUCUUAAGAGCAUUUAAUAAUAAACAAUGAUCUAAAUAGGAAAAUUAUUUAGAGAUGAUUUCUGGUGUGGAUGGACAGGACAGAGAUACCCUAGUGACUGUUUUCUGCUCAUGAUCAGAAUGUUUUGAUUAUUCAAUUGCUGUUUAUUGUUAGUAUAUUGUUAUAAAAACUAUUUAGCUGUGUGUUUGUGUUGUUUGGACCUCUGCUGGGAUACAAAAUACAGAAUUCAGCCUGAACAAUUAAAACAUUCAGAACUAUACAUUGUCCAUCAUAACUGACACAUUUAUACACAGAAUCCGAAAAAUGGUAAACUACACACUUGCAAAUAACCUAUUUGUACAUUCAUUUGAAUAACUGUAUUUCUUUUUGUAUAUAGUGCAUUAUUUA
Long non-coding RNA from Onychostoma macrolepis, 865 nucleotides. RefSeq lists it as uncharacterized. The record is from RefSeq and is a predicted model, not a curated record. NCBI's taxonomy places the organism in Eukaryota, Metazoa, Chordata, Actinopteri, Cypriniformes, Cyprinidae. The transcript is spliced from 3 exons.